RNAcentral lists this ribosomal RNA (497 nucleotides) under uncultured bacterium. RNAcentral describes it as "partial 16S ribosomal RNA". It matches the Rfam family "Bacterial small subunit ribosomal RNA", at positions 28 to 507 of the family's 1533-position model. The record is from RNAcentral.
GAUGAACGCUGGCGGCGUGCCUAAUACAUGCAAGUCGAGCGAACGGACGAGAAGCUUGCUUCUCUGAUGUUAGCGGCGGACGGGUGAGUAACACGUGGAUAACCUACCUAUAAGACUGGGAUAACUUCGGGAAACCGGAUCUAAUACCGGAUAAUAUUUUGAACCGCAUGGUUCAAACGUGAAAGACGGUCUUGCUGUCACUUAUAGCUGAACCCGCGCUGCAUUAGCUAGUUGGUAAGGUAACGGCUUACCAAGGCAACGAUGCAUAGCCGACCUGAGAGGGUGAUCGGCCACACUGGAACUGAGACACGGUCCAGACUCCUACGGGAGGCAGCAGUAGGGAAUCUUCCGCAAUGGGCGAAAGCCUGACGGAGCAACGCCGCGUGAGUGAUGAAGGUCUUCGGAUCGUAAAACUCUGUUAUUAGGGAAGAACAUAUGUGUAAGUAACUGUGCACAUCUUGACGGUACCUAAUCAGAAAGCCACGGCUAACUACGUG